This 372-nucleotide ribosomal RNA is filed under the name uncultured organism. RNAcentral's name for it is "bacterial SSU rRNA". It matches the Rfam family "Bacterial small subunit ribosomal RNA", at positions 526 to 896 of the family's 1533-position model. The record is from RNAcentral.
CAGAGGGUGCAAACGUUGUUCGGAAUCACUGGGCGUAAAGCGCGUGUAGGCGGCUGCGCAAGUCGGGCGUGAAAUCCCGUGGCUCAACCACGGAAGUGCACCCGAAACUGCGUAGCUGGAGUCUCGGAGAGGAAGGUGGAAUGCUUGGUGUAGAGGUGAAAUUCGUAGAUAUCAAGCGGAACACCAGUGGCGAAGGCGACCUUCUGGACGAUGACUGACGCUGAGACGCGAAAGCGUGGGGAGCAAACAGGAUUAGAUACCCUGGUAGUCCACGCUGUAAACGAUGAGUGCUAGGUGUCACGGGCUUUGACCCCCGUGGUGCCGUAGCUAACGCAGUAAGCACUCCGCCUGGGGAGUACGGCCGCAAGGCUA